GCUCAAGAAGCUAGCAUUAAAGGUAAAAUUUUGAAUUAUUCAGGUGUCCCCUCUUCUUUUAGUAAAAGUUGCUAUAAGUCACCCUUAAAAAACUGUUUGAUGAUCCUUAUCCUGUGAAUAUUUGCUUUUGCAAACAAGACAUACAGAGAGACAUGGUUGGAUGUCCUUUACUAUCUAUAUUUUGCGGAACUAAAUCCAUCAAAAAGAGAUUCUGUGGCUUAUAGAACUUGAUUUAGGAGGGUUUCAUGUAUGUUUGCCCAUGUGAGUAGAUGAUUUAUAUUGCUAAGUUACAGUCUCUCAUCAUCAUGUGAUUAAUGUUGGUGCAUUUCAAAUAGAUUAUGUGAUCCCUGUGAUGGUGACUGUCAUUGUGAACUGAAAAUUUCAGCUUCUUUCUGCUUCUGUUCUUUUCAAAUUAUUGUAUUUCAUUUUAUAUAUUAAAGGCCAAACAAACCAUUCUCAAAGAUAAGGAGCUCAUGUUAUCACAUGCAUGGAUCAGGGUUUUAAAUAAUGGCUGUUGCCAUUAUGUUAUGACUAAGGAGAAUCAGGGGUGUUGACAAAAAAUAGAGGGUCUUUGGGGUUGAAUUGAAAUUGUAAUAAUGGAAUAUUAUAGAAAGUAAGUAGAGUUAGCUAGGAAUAGAAUGGCAGGAACAGUUACUAUAGAGAUCUAAAGCUGUAUAAAUAA
Molecule: unclassified non-coding RNA, 682 nt
Filed under: Hevea brasiliensis (rubber tree)
Lineage: Eukaryota; Viridiplantae; Streptophyta; Magnoliopsida; Malpighiales; Euphorbiaceae
Source: RNAcentral